This 440-nucleotide ribosomal RNA is filed under the name uncultured bacterium. RNAcentral describes it as "partial 16S ribosomal RNA". It matches the Rfam family "Bacterial small subunit ribosomal RNA", at positions 338 to 795 of the family's 1533-position model. The record is from RNAcentral.
CCUACGGGAGGCAGCAGUGGGGAAUAUUUCACAAUGGGGGAAACCCUGAUGCAGCGACGCCGCGUGAGUGAAGAAGUAUUUCGGUACGUAAAGCUCUAUCAGCAGGGAAGAAAAUGACGGUACCUGACUAAGAAGCCCCGGCUAACUACGUGCCAGCAGCCGCGGUAAUACGUAGGGGGCAAGCGUUAUCCGGAUUUACUGGGUGUAAAGGGAGCGUAGACGGCAGAGAAAGUCUGGAGUGAAAUCCCAUGGCUUAACCAUGGAACUGCUUUGGAAACUGUGCAGCUGGAGUGCAGGAGAGGUAAGCGGAAUUCCUGGUGUAGCGGUGAAAUCCGUAGAUAUCAAGAGGAAUACUCAUUGCGAAGGCGACCUACUGGAACAUUACUGACGCUCAUGCACGAAAGCGUGGGGAGCAAACAGGAUUAGAUACCCGAGUAGUC